RNAcentral lists this ribosomal RNA (446 nucleotides) under uncultured bacterium. RNAcentral describes it as "partial 16S ribosomal RNA". It matches the Rfam family "Bacterial small subunit ribosomal RNA", at positions 338 to 795 of the family's 1533-position model. The record is from RNAcentral.
CCUACGGGAGGCAGCAGUGGGGAAUUUUGGGCAAUGGGGGGAACCCUGACCCAGCAACGCCGCGUGAGCGAAGAAGUUAUUCGGAAUGUAAAGCUCUUUUUACAGGGAAGAAAGGGAAGUUACUCGGUACCGGAAGAGUGAGCUCCGGCUAACUACGUGCCAGCAGCCGCGGUAAGACGUAGGGGGCGAGCGUUAUCCGGGAUUAUUGGGCGGAAAGAGUGCGUAGAGGGCAUAGUAAGUCUUUUGUAAAAGUGCUGGGCUCAACCCAGGAGGGCAAAAGAUACUGCAAAGCUAGAGUAUGACAGAGGCAAGUGGAACUACAUGGGUAGCGGUAAAAUGCGUAAAUAUAUGUAAGAACACCAGUGGCGAAGGCGGCUUGCUGGGUCGAUACUGACAUUGAGGCACGAAAGCGUGGGGAGCAAACAGGAUUAGAUACCCGGGUAGUC